GACGAACGCUGGCGGCGUGCUUAACACAUGCAAGUCGAACGGUAAGGCCCUUCGGGGUACACGAGUGGCGAACGGGUGAGUAACACGUGGGUGAUCUGCCCUGCACUUCGGGAUAAGCCUGGGAAACUGGGUCUAAUACCGGAUAGGACCACUGCCUGCAUGGGUGGUGGUGGAAAGCUUUUGCGGUGUGGGAUGGGCCCGCGGCCUAUCAGCUUGUUGGUGGGGUGAUGGCCUACCAAGGCGACGACGGGUAGCCGGCCUGUGAGGGUGACCGGCCACACUGGGACUGAGAUACGGGCCAGAAUCCUACGGGAGGGAGCAGUGGGGAAUAUUGCCCAAUGGGCGCCAGCCUGAUGCAUCGACGCCGCGGGAGGGAUGACGGCCUUCGGGUUGUAAACCUCUUUCAGCACCGACGAAGCGCAAGUGACGGUAGGUGCAGAAGAAGGACCGGCCAACUACGUGCCAGCAGCCGCAGUAA
Molecule: ribosomal RNA, 478 nt
Filed under: uncultured bacterium
Lineage: Bacteria
Description: partial 16S ribosomal RNA
Rfam family: Bacterial small subunit ribosomal RNA
Source: RNAcentral